CUGCCACGCACAAGUACAAAGGCAACGUCACGGACAAGCCGCGACCACCACCAGACUUUCCAGCCGCCCAUUCUGACCUCACCGUUACUCCCUUCACCCUGCUGCGCUCCUUUUUGUUUGGUUUUCCGUCCGUCUUCUGCUUACGUAUUCCGGCUUACUGAGCCACCUUUGCCGCAUGAAAGGGAAGCGUGACACGCAGCGCCGCAGGACUAGGGUGAGCCGCGGUCGCAUGCGCCUACGUGUGGACUUGGAUCGGGGUGGAGUGGAUAUGUCAAAGGCAUACAGCAUCUCGCGUUGAAGUGGCCUCUCUCUUGGCGCCUCCGUGUUCUUGAUAUCGAACGACACGGUACAGUCUAUACUGUCGGAUUGCACCACACUAGCGCACCUCACGAUGGCAAAAGUUUGCUGAAGAGGGGGGAGAGAGGGAGGGGGAGGGCAAGUACUCCGUCAGCCCGUGUUUCGCCCUCUGGUGCUUCAAAAUUUCUACGGGAUGCUGCAGAGAGCUAUCAGAGGUCGCUCGCACGCUGCUGGGCCCUUGUACGGACUGGGCAAGUAGCCGCCGUCGAGAAAAGGCGUCAUGCCGUCUCCUGAGGGCCCAGGGACAGGGCCGCGAUGUGCGCGUUCUCAUGAUCCGAAAACUCACCCCCUCCUUGCCUGCAUGACCUCUUGGGUUUAUCCUCUCGUCUGCUCGCACAGCAUGGCAGCUGCAAUGCACACACACGCCCCUCUCGCUCCCUGCACUCUCUCCUCCCCUCUCUUUCUGCAG
Molecule: unclassified non-coding RNA, 766 nt
Filed under: Leishmania donovani
Lineage: Eukaryota; Euglenozoa; Kinetoplastea; Trypanosomatida; Trypanosomatidae
Description: gene:unknown
Source: RNAcentral